Molecule: ribosomal RNA, 281 nt
Filed under: uncultured Hyphomicrobiaceae bacterium
Lineage: Bacteria; Pseudomonadati; Pseudomonadota; Alphaproteobacteria; Hyphomicrobiales; Hyphomicrobiaceae
Description: partial 16S ribosomal RNA
Rfam family: Bacterial small subunit ribosomal RNA
Source: RNAcentral
CAGGCUACCAUGCAGUCGACGCCGUAUCAUACGGAGUGGCAGACGGGUGAGUAACCCGUGGGAACCUUCCCAAUGGUGCGGAAUAGCUCAGGGAAACCUGGGGUAAUACCGCAUACGCCCUUCGGGGGAAAGAUUUAUCGCCAUUGGAUGGGCCCGCGUCGGAUUAGCUAGUUGGUGGGGUAAUGGCCUACCAAGGCGACGAUCCGUAGCUGGUCUGAGAGGAUGAUCAGCCACACUGGGACUGAGACACGGCCCAGACUCCUACGGGAGGCAGCAGUGGG